RNAcentral lists this transfer RNA (76 nucleotides) under Campylobacterota bacterium. RNAcentral's name for it is "Epsilonproteobacteria bacterium tRNA-Phe". It matches the Rfam family "tRNA". From Rfam's summary of the family: Transfer RNA (tRNA) molecules are approximately 80 nucleotides in length. RNAcentral also lists the same sequence under 1 other name. Lineage: Bacteria; Pseudomonadati; Campylobacterota. The record is from RNAcentral.
GGCCCGAUAGCUCAGUCGGUAGAGCAAAGGACUGAAAAUCCUUGUGUCGGCAGUUCGAUUCUGCCUCGCGCCACCA